Molecule: ribosomal RNA, 497 nt
Filed under: uncultured bacterium
Lineage: Bacteria
Description: partial 16S ribosomal RNA
Rfam family: Bacterial small subunit ribosomal RNA
Source: RNAcentral
GAUGAACGCUGGCGGCGUGCCUAAUACAUGCAAGUCGAGCGAACAGACGAGGCGCUUGCUCCUCUGACGUUAGCGGCGGACGGGUGAGUAACACGUGGAUAACCUACCUAUAAGACUGGGAUAACUUCGGGAAACCGGAUCUAAUACCGGAUAAUAUAUUGAACCGCAUUGUUCAAUAGUGAAAGACGGUUUUGCUGUCACUUAUCGAUGGAUCCGGGCCGCUUUAGCUAGUUGUUAAGGUAAAAGCUUACCAAGGGAACGAGGCGUAGCCGAACUGAGAGGGUGAUCGGCCACACGGGAAGGGGGACACGGACAAGAGUCCUACGGGAGGCAGCAGUAGGGAAUCGUCCGCAGUGGGCGAAAGCUUGACGGAGUAAGGCCGAGUGAGUGAUGAAGGUGUUCGGAUCGUAAAACUCUGUUAUUAGGGAAGAACAAAUGUGUAAGUAACUAUGCACGUAUUGACGGUACCUAAUAAGAAAGCCACGGCUAACUACGUG